Molecule: long non-coding RNA, 3146 nt
Organism: Labrus mixtus (cuckoo wrasse)
Lineage: Eukaryota; Metazoa; Chordata; Actinopteri; Labriformes; Labridae
Exons: 3
Source: RefSeq, a predicted model, not a curated record
UGAAGGAUUUAACAGGACUGUGACAAAAUUAAAUCAAAAUGUUCUCCAGCUUGCAAGUCAGCACAGUUUUAUUUUUGAUUUCUCUGCCUUCAGACAGCAGCUCGGCCUACGAGCUCCAUGACACUAUCCACACUCUGAAAGAAGAAAACCUCCACCUGCAACACCGACUGGAGAAUCUCGCUCGAGCUCUCAGAGAUUUGAAACAUCUGCUGAUAGAGAACUCUAAAGUUUCUGGGAGGGAACAUGAAACUGAGUUUCUAAAUGCCUGGAAGGAAUGGUCCCAACAUGGCAUAAGUACUGAGACUCACCAGAUGUUGCAGCAGGCUCUCUGUUUAACAGAGCUCCAAGCAGCUGCCCAGCCGAUCUUCAUCACGACAGGCAACCCUCUCCUCUUCCUCUCGUCUCUGGUUUCCAUGAUUCACCUGCUGCUGAUGUGACUCAAAAACAAACAUCCAUCAUCAUAAAGCUUAGAGACAGAUAGAUAGAUUAUUUUAUUUAUGUUCUCUCUUGGUCUAAAUAAUGUGUUUUUUGUCACAGCCUAAUAAUUUAAUUAGUAUGUAUUAAAACAGUUCUUUGCAUCGUUUUGAUCUAUUGAGUGUAGAGUUACAAAGAUUAUUUUCUGGUCUGGUGCUUUUUUAACUUGAUGUCAGACAGUAAUGAUUAUUAAAGUUUUCAAUAUAAAAUGACCCCUCCAUCUAUAAUAUUUACUUUUAGGAAAUCCAAAACAAAUCCAAUACGAUUUUAUGAUAUUAAUUUACAACCUUUUUCAUGAAAACCGUAAGACUAAAAGUCCUUAAACAAACAAACAUUCAUUCUAAUUUGUCAACACUUAAAUCAAAAUGGUUUUUAAUAUGAUGUUAUAUUAAAUGACAUGCAUGCAUCUGCUGAACACUAUACCAGAUGGUGAAAACUAAAAACGGAAGGAUAGAGAUAACAGAGGUGAGAAGACAGAAUUUACCCUCCUUAUGAGUCAUUAAAAGUAAGAGACAUACCGGUUGAUGUAUUUAUAAUAAUCAAUAAGUGUUACUUCUAUACUGCACCUUUUCUCAACAUUAAGAAGAGCCAAUGGGUCUCAGUCGCAAAGAAACCCAUCUGUCUAUUUAUAUGAAACUCUGCUUUCACACAGGGAUGCUGAAUGUCCUUUGGUGGAUUUAUGUGUUUGAUGUUUUCCUGAAUCCAGCAGUGUUACAUUUUGCCGUCUUUGUCUGCUUAAUUAAAAUGACCCUUCCUGCAUAGAUUAUAAAUUGGUGCAUUUGUACUUUAAUUUCCAUUUGAUUAUGCUGAAUGGAUGGCCAAUUUACAUUUGCAAGGACUUCAUCUGGCCCUAGUAGACAUGUGGAGAGACUGCGGUACUUUAGCUGUAGACAUCCAUGUAGAAAAGUGUGAGAAAAGCCACUGCAUAGACACGGCAAACCUCUGUUUAUUAUGUAGGCCUACUUAUCCUAUUUUAACAUGUAAGAGAUCACUUUAUGGUUGAAACAAGCCUAAGAGUCAGCAGACGUGCAUUUCUUAAAGUACUUGAAUACAGAGUUGUUUUCAGUGUUUGUUUGUUUUUGUUUUUAGCUAAAUGCUAAUUUCAGCAUGGCAGCACACUCUGGACAAUUAAAAUGUAGAUGAUGCAAUUGUAGCACGAUAUUUACUGCAUUAGCUGAGGCUGGAUUGUUGGCGUGCGAACAUAUGGUACUUAGCAGUAAUCACAACGUAUAGCCUUCGUUAAUGAGAACAAUAUUUCUUUAACAAGAAAAAAUGAUCAAACCACAUACUCUGAAUGAAAUGUUUAACCUGAUGCUGGAACUUAAUGAGAAGUCAGAGGAGCAUCCAUAGGAUGAACUCAGCAUCUAUAUUAACAAGCUAGUGGACCUUCGGCUAACAUUGUCUUCUUGAGGUCAUGUGGGGUUUGUAAAGAAGAUUAUUUUAUUUAUAGCCUACUUGCAGAGUUUACUCCAACUCUAGGAAAUAAUAGUUUCAAUCCGAGUUACAUUAUUUGAUCAAAAUCACUAGCCUAUUUCUAGCACGUUUAAAUCUUUAGUCAUGCUAAAAGCCACAUCGCUUAAUGAUUGACCUUAAAAGCUCCUCAAAGAUUGACUGAGCGGUUGUGCAGCAGUCAUUAUUAUCCCCCAUUAACCCACAUGUAAGCAGUUCAACCUGCACUUAUCCAUUAAAUUGCUAUAUUCAGCUUAGGUCUACAUCCCUGUAUGCUGGCAUGCUGUAAUCAAUCAUAAAACAUAAUUAUGCAGUGUUGCAGUGAUGUAAUCAAAGUGGUCUGUUAAGCAACCUAAAGAGGGAAAGUUUGGUUUAUGGAUCUAUAACAUCUGCUGCUCAUUACCAUGAAGAACAUAGUGUAACUUUAGAAGAAAAAGGUACAAAUUGUAUUAUCUAAAAGCCAAUAAUUACAUUGAAUUUACAUUUGCACAUUUCGUUGCAGAUGUAUAAAUCAUAGGCUGUGGCACGUUAGAAUAAUUUUUUUGUUUAAAUUAAAAAAGUUUGUGUCCCGGCUGUCUCAAGAAUUCAAGUUGACAGAAUCGAAGAUGAUACGUUAAGACAAAUAUGUAUUCUUUUUUUUUUUUUAAACCUUUCUAGAAAGCCAUAUACCAUUUUUAAUUAAUUUAACAUUUAUUAAGUUCAUCCAUGUUUAAUGCAGGACUCAAACUCUAGAUCCUCUGAGUGUGAGGCACCAGCAGUAGGGGCACCCAGGACUGAGCUCUGCUCCAUGGGGGACAGAGCCUUCUCUUCUGCUGGAAUGCUCUUCCUGAUUACCUGAGAGCCCCACAGACAGUGGACUCCUUUAAAAGGACUUGAAAACCUUCCUUUUUAAAAUAGCUUUUCCCUAAAAAAAAUAAAAAUAAAAUUUCCCGUAAGUCCCUAAAACCACUGCUUUAAGAUCUUUUUGUUAUACUUAGGUUUUAACUCUGCCUGAUUUUACCUGUCUUACUAAUGCAAUUGUUCUUAUGGUUUUUAUUCUAAUUGUAGCACUUUGAGAUUUUAAAUUAGCAUUAUAAAUAUCAUGUAUUAUUAGUAUUAUUAGCAGUAACCACUUCUCUGUAUAGCCACUUUGUAUAAGAAUAAUUAUUUAUAUUUGGGCAAUUGUAUUUUAAAGUAUAUCAUAUUGACAUGUAAGUAAUAAAAAUGUACAUUAGUUAAGAUGA